RNAcentral lists this ribosomal RNA (587 nucleotides) under uncultured bacterium. RNAcentral's name for it is "bacterial SSU rRNA". It matches the Rfam family "Bacterial small subunit ribosomal RNA", at positions 337 to 916 of the family's 1533-position model. The record is from RNAcentral.
UCCUACGGGAGGCAGCAGUGGGGAAUAUUGGACAAUGGGGGCAACCCUGAUCCAGCCAUGCCGCGUGUGCGAAGAAGGCCCUCGGGUUGUAAAGCACUUUCAGCGAGGAAGAACGCCUAGCGGUUAAUACCCGCUAGGAAAGACAUCACUCGCAGAAGAAGCACCGGCUAACUCCGCGCCAGCAGCCGCGGUAAUACGGAGGGUGCAAGCGUUAAUCGGAAUUACUGGGCGUAAAGCGCGCGUAGGUGGCUUGAUAAGCCGGUUGUGAAAGCCCCGGGCUCAACCUGGGAACGGCAUCCGGAACUGUCAAGCUAGAGUGCAGGAGAGGAAGGUAGAAUUCCCGGUGUAGCGGUGAAAUGCGUAGAGAUCGGGAGGAAUACCAGUGGCGAAGGCGGCCUUCUGGACUGACACUGACACUGAGGUGCGAAAGCGUGGGUAGCAAACAGGAUUAGAUACCCUGGUAGUCCACGCCGUAAACGAUGUCGACCAGCCGUUGGGUGCCUAGCGCACUUUGUGGCGAAGUUAACGCGAUAAGUCGACCGCCUGGGGAGUACGGCCGCAAGGUUAAAACUCAAAUGAAUUGACGG